UUAGGGGUACCGUCAGUCCUGUGAAGUAUUAGCUCACAGGAUGUUCUUCCCCUUGACAGAGGUUACGACCAAGGCCUUCUUCACUCACGCGGCGUUGCUCCGUCAGGCUUUCGCCCAUUGCGGAAGAUUCCCC
Molecule: ribosomal RNA, 133 nt
Filed under: uncultured bacterium
Lineage: Bacteria
Description: partial 16S ribosomal RNA
Source: RNAcentral